Non-coding RNA from Schistosoma haematobium, 73 nucleotides. NCBI's taxonomy places the organism in Eukaryota, Metazoa, Platyhelminthes, Trematoda, Strigeidida, Schistosomatidae. The record is from Rfam.
GGGCCUGUGGCGCAAUGGAUAAUACGCCUGACUACCGAUCAGGAGACUACAGGGUCGAAUCCUGGCAAGUUCG